RNAcentral lists this unclassified non-coding RNA (272 nucleotides) under uncultured fungus. RNAcentral describes it as "sequence contains 5.8S rRNA gene, ITS2". The stretch from base 1 to 103 matches the Rfam family "5.8S ribosomal RNA", at positions 44 to 154 of the family's 154-position model. Lineage: Eukaryota; Fungi. The record is from RNAcentral.
CGCAGCGAAGUGCGAUAAGCAAUGCGAAUUGCAGAACCGCGAGUCAUCAGAUUUUUGAACGCAAGUGGCGGCAGCCUCGGCAGUCAUGUUUGUUUCAGUGUGUCCGGUUAAUUACAUCAUGGAAUUUAAUGUGAUUGAGGAGACUCUCUCACAAAAUACGGAGUAGUGUCAAUGAAGACUCCAAACGAAACAGUCACUAACUGGUGAUAAUCGUUUGAGGAUCGGAAUUGGUGAAUCACUAUUCAACAACAAUUUAUCCAUUAUGGCACCUG